AGAGUUUGAUCAUGGCUCAGGACGAACGCUGGCGGCGUGCCUAAUACAUGCAAGUAGAACGCUGACUACUUUAGCUUGCUAGAGUAGAAGGAGUUGCGAACGGGUGAGUAACGCGUAGGUAACCUGCCUACUAGCGGGGGAUAACUAUUGGAGACGAUAGCUAAUACCGCAUAACAGUGUUUAACACAUGUUAGAUGCUUGAAAGAUGCAAAUGCAUCACUAGUAGAUGGACCUGCGUUGUAUUAGCUAGUUGGUGGGGUAACGGCCUACCAAGGCGACGAUACAUAGCCGACCUGAGAGGGUGAUCGGCCACACUGGGACUGAGACACGGCCCAGACUCCUACGGGAGGCAGCAGUAGGGAAUCUUCGGCAAUGGGGGCAACCCUGACCGAGCAACGCCGCGUGAGUGAAGAAGGUUUUCGGAUCGUAAAGCUCUGUUGUAAGAGAAGAACGUGUGUGAGAGUGGAAAGUUCACACAGUGACGGUAACUUACCAGAAAGGGACGGCUAACUACGUGCCAGCAGCCGCGGUAAUACGUAGGUCCCGAGCGUUGUCCGGAUUUAUUGGGCGUAAAGCGAGCGCAGGCGGUUUAAUAAGUCUGAAGUUAAAGGCAGUGGCUUAACCAUUGUUCGCUUUGGAAACUGUUAAACUUGAGUGCAGAAGGGGAGAGUGGAAUUCCAUGUGUAGCGGUGAAAUGCGUAGAUAUAUGGAGGAACACCGGUGGCGAAAGCGGCUCUCUGGUCUGUAACUGACGCUGAGGCUCGAAAGCGUGGGGAGCAAACAGGAUUAGAUACCCUGGUAGUCCACGCCGUAAACGAUGAGUGUAGGUGUUAGGCCCUUUCCGGGGCUUAGUGCCGCAGCUAACGCAUUAAGCACUCCGCCUGGGGA
RNAcentral lists this ribosomal RNA (888 nucleotides) under uncultured bacterium. RNAcentral's name for it is "bacterial SSU rRNA". It matches the Rfam family "Bacterial small subunit ribosomal RNA", at positions 8 to 879 of the family's 1533-position model. The record is from RNAcentral.